This 428-nucleotide ribosomal RNA is filed under the name uncultured bacterium. RNAcentral describes it as "bacterial SSU rRNA". It matches the Rfam family "Bacterial small subunit ribosomal RNA", at positions 917 to 1344 of the family's 1533-position model. The record is from RNAcentral.
GGGCCCGCACAAGCGGUGGAGCAUGUGGUUUAAUUCGAUGCAACGCGAAGAACCUUACCUGGUCUUGACAUACACAGAAUCUUGUAGAGAUACGAGAGUGCCUUCGGGAAUUGUGAUACAGGUGCUGCAUGGCUGUCGUCAGCUCGUGUCGUGAGAUGUUGGGUUAAGUCCCGCAACGAGCGCAACCCUUGUCCUUAGUUACCAGCGGGUUAAGCCGGGAACUCUAAGGAUACUGCCAGUGACAAACUGGAGGAAGGCGGGGACGACGUCAAGUCAUCAUGCCCCUUACAUCCUGGGCUACACACGUACUACAAUGGUAGGUACAGAGGGCAGCUACACAGCGAUGUGAUGCGAAUCUCAAAAAGCCUAUCGUAGUCCAGAUUGGAGUCUGCAACUCGACUCCAUGAAGUAGGAAUCGCUAGUAAUCG